RNAcentral lists this long non-coding RNA (1200 nucleotides) under Homo sapiens (human). RNAcentral describes it as "small nucleolar RNA host gene 17". The record is from RNAcentral. Lineage: Eukaryota; Metazoa; Chordata; Mammalia; Primates; Hominidae.
CUCGCCGUCCUUCGCCAUCGCACGCCACCGCACCCCAUCUCUCGAAAUCUGCAGACAUCUUGAUUUUUCCCACGCUGUCUGUCAGGUCUCCGCCGCCACUCGACGCCAGGGCGCCGGGUGAGUCCACAGCAGGGCGCAUGGUCGGCUCCACUCUCACCAUCGGGGGAAACUGAGGCCCCGGGGAAGGCGGCCAGAGAGGUCAGGCCCUGUCCUUGGUGCAGUGUCUCGUCCUCUUUGCCGGAGUGAGCCCCCCAGGAUUCGCGUGUCCUCGGGAAAGACACUGGCAGGCCUUGUGGGCUGUGCUGCACCUCGGACGGCUUCGCACCAGCCAGCGCCCUCUCUCUCCUGCAGCACUCUGAUCUGCACCCCCUGAGGGGCUUCCACUGUCCGCGGGGUGAGAAUGCCCCUGGGAGUGUCACAUGACUGCCGCCCCAUGUGUGUGAGAGGCGUCCUCUGGGAGAGCAUGGAUCCUGAGGUCCCAGGAACAUCCCGAGAGCCAAGUUCCCAGAUGCCAGCCAAGGGCCAUCUGACCUGUUUUGAAUCUCAAUUUCCUGAUACAGAAAACAAAGGAUUGUCAGCUGACCUCUGUCCUGUGUGCCCAGUGGCCCCAGGUGACGUGUCUUCAAGAAGAGGCUGAGCUGCGGUGCUUGUAAGAGUCAUGUGCUGUUCCUGGGGCUUGGAUGAUGUAGGGGAAGCAAGGUGAAAGUGGUAUCCCGUGGUUCCACGUUCUGUCCUGCUGUGGGGCUGUCCCUCACAUGCUUUCAGUGGCUGUUGCAGAGGAAGAGCCUCCGGAAAUCUGCGUCUCAGCCUUAGAUCCAAGGACAGUCCAAGGAAGUCCUAAGACCAUGGAGUUGGUGAUCUGGGAUCUGGGUUUGCUGAUAUUUCUCACCGUGAAUCUCUUGGUGGUGUUUGUGGGCACGAGAGGGGCAGAGAAUGGAGAGUGAGGCUACCACAUGAAGCGUCACCAGAGCUGCUCCCUGCUGCCUGCUCAGAGCACCCCGGAUCCACUGUUCAAUCUGCACAAGAUUCGGGGUCCAGACAUGGGAGACUUCAGCUGCCUCAGAGGACCGUGGACAGGGAAGGCCAGCCUCGCAUCCCUCUGUCCAUGCCUGGAAUGACUUUAAUAACCAAGAGUUUUAUUUUUGAAUUUGUAGCUGUCGUUCACUUUUUACCCACCCAUUCAAUAAACCUUACAGAAUU